Long non-coding RNA from Numida meleagris (helmeted guineafowl), 5734 nucleotides. RefSeq lists it as uncharacterized. The transcript is spliced from 4 exons. NCBI's taxonomy places the organism in Eukaryota, Metazoa, Chordata, Aves, Galliformes, Numididae. The record is from RefSeq and is a predicted model, not a curated record.
AGUGCCACUGCCUUCUGUUGGUCCUUUUGAUUGCACCAACACAUCCAGCCAGGUUGAAGCCCAGCAUCAGUGGGUUCCUCUGCUGACACCUUCCUGGAAUACAGGUUGCUCUUAGGGAAGCAAGGAGAGAGAGGUUUUAGGAUUGCAGCUGGAGGUUUGUCUGUAGCCAGUGACUUCAAGAGGUGGAAUCUGCUACUGAAAGUGAAAUAUUUAUCAAACUCAAAAAGCUGUUGCAUCCACCUGCUCUGAUCUUCCAGCUAACACAAGCCUUGGAGCUUUCUUAAUUCCAGUCUGAAGGCAAGCAUAUUUUUAGGGCAUAAUAAUUAUCUCUUUUUUUUUUUUUUUAGAAAGAACUGAGUGAUAGAGAAGCUACCAUAAAGCCUGAGAGCCUAUUCUAGUAUCUCACAGCAUGUACAAUUAAAACCUUGCACCUUUUUGUUUUUAUUCUAUAUUUGUCUACCUGUGGUCUGCUUCUCCCCGUUACACUGAAUACCUCUGUAUCUCUUACCUUGUUCUGUAUGGCUGGUAUUUAUAGAUAAAUAUACAUUACAUAAACAUGUAACAAACUGGAAUUUGAUUGAGAUAAAGAACUUGUGACAUAUUUUCCAUUCUUUUGGCAGUUCUUAGAGCUCUCCUCUAAACAUUGUCUUGCCUGUUAGCCUCUCUUAACCUCUUUCCACAAUUGUGGCCAUUAGAAUUAGUCUAGGUUCUCUAAUACCACUUAUGUCCCUUAAAAAUGCAGAGGCAAAAGAACACUUCUGACACUUCCCUGUACUCCUCCAUUGCUCCGGAUCUCCAAAAGAGAUUCUGUACUGCCUAGCUGGUGGUCCAAGGUUAUGCCUGUUUUCUCAUCAAAGCUGCUCCCUCCUGGAGGAGAAGCCCUUAGCCUGUGGGUCCAGCCUACAGCCUUUGUUUCCAGAUGCUGAACUGCAUGGUUUUUUUCUUCUUUAUGUUGAGUUUCACAAAUAUCUCAAGUGUUCAACCCUGGGAGCCUCUCCACAGAGUUAUUCCCACUUUCUGUUCAAUACUUGCAUACUUGAAUCAGUAUCAUUUUAUACCUCCGUUUCAUUCAUUAAAAUGUUGCAGAAUGAAUACAUGCAAGAACCCAUUAGAAACCUCUCUGUUUUAUAAUGAUUUCUUUCUCAUACAAUCUAGGCUCAUAUUUUUGAAUAUGGCAUUGAUUCUUCUUUCUGCUUUCUUUUUUACCAUGUCAAAUUCUUUAUAUAUGCAAUAUGUACCUGAAUUUAUUAUAUCAGUGCUGUUAUUUUAACACUCAAACUUGUAAUGUAAUGAUAAUGACAUUAGAACUUGAGGUACUGGAACAGGAUUCGCAGGGAGGUGGUGGAGUCACCAUCACUGGCGGUGUUCAAAAAACGUGUAGGUGUGGCACUGAGAGAUGUGGUUAGUGGGGAUGGGUUGAUGGUUGGACUAGGUGAUCUUAAAGGUCUUUUCCAACCUUAAUGAUUCUAUGAAAAUGUGAUUAUACUUAUUGGGCAAAACUGGUUUUCUGUAAAUCCACGUUAAGUGGCACUACUAAUCUCAUCUACUGUGUAUUUCCUACAGUCGUCUUUCCUCUUGCUUAUUCAAUUAUAUUGACUAUGAUUGUCGCCUCAGUGAUGAUCUGAUAUUUAUUUUAACUUCCUUUAAAAAGUCUUUGCACAAUGUUAGGUCUUUUCCCAACCUUUAGCACUUCUCAAAUAUUCAAUAAGAUUUUGAAAAUUGACAUAGUUUGAUUUGUAGAACUCCUUGAGAAACUCUUUGAUACGUGGGUGCAAUUUACAGGAUUAGAUUUUUUUAAAUGUUUUUGUUUUGAUUUAAUUACUCAUUUUCCUCCUCAGUUAUAGGUCAAAUAAAAGGCAUCUUAGUAGUCUCCGAUUUAACUAAACCAUCUGGCUUUUUUGCAAAUUGAAACUUAGCAAGGAACUUUUGAGCAAUGACUUCCAAUAAAAAGAUGAAAAAAAAACAUUCUAAAACCAACUUAGAAAACAUCUGUAAUCAAAUAAACUUAUCUGAUUAGAAGACACAAACAGAAUAUUCAGAUAAUGCCACAGAGUGAUAAUGAAUCUCCAGAAGUCCUGUACUGCCAAAGUCAUGUGCUUGAAAUCUGCUCAUAUUUUCUUAAAGAGACGUAAGCACAGCCUUAUAUAAGGAAUUUCUUCACUGGGUUAGUGGAAGUGCCCAACUCGUUUAAUGACUGGUGAGGUUCAAGACAGGGGGACUCCUUGCCCUGCGGUGUGAGGGCUGGGAAAGUGCCGAAGGAAGGGAACAGGGCAAAGGGCUGAACUUUGUUUUAGGAGCUGCACAAGGGACAGGCAUGAGAAGAGCUUAGGAAAUACCUUCAUGUCAUGCCUGGCUUCCCACUGAGAAGCGCUUGACAUGAACAGCCAGGCUUGCAAGAGGAGGUGAGCACUGAGAAGCCCUCAGGGCGCUCUGUGGCCUGUAGCUCCUGGGAUCAGCAAAUGGGAACUGCCUCUAUUGCCACACAACCCCGGUGGUAAGUGAAUAUCUCUAGAGAUGAAAUCAUCUGGCAAAGGGGCAGACUUCUCCCUGAAGAGGGAAACUCACUGACGUAACUUUGGUGAGUAACUUUCCAUCCUUAGGGGAGGCAGGGAUGCUCCACAGAAGCUCUUCUCCAGGGCACAGUGGUCUCUUCUGAGAUCUCUCCCUGCAUUCCCAGGGUGGACAUUGGCAAUGUCCUGCCUGCAGGAGCAGAGAUGCCUGUUCAAGACUGCUUAACCUAUCUGGCACUGCAUUUCAGCAGCCCCACAGCUAGAGGCCAUGCUGGGAGCUGGAUUGCUACAAUGGUCUGACAGUGGAGAAUUCUUUGGGCUUCAUCAGUGCCUUUCAAGUAUGGGGAAGCUUCUUAGGAAGAAUUGUGAGGCUCUCAUAAGCUAAAUUCUCCUUUGGAAGGAAUCUUAAUUAUGAACUUCCCCUUUGCUGUUGGGAUUCACUUUACCAGUAAUGCUCCUUUUCUGUAAGCUGAGCAGAUGUGUGGCUACUUACAGCAAACAAAAUCACCUGGUUAGAUGCCUGAAAGUGUCAUCCACAUGUUGCAGUAGAAUCAGGUAGUUGCUGAAGCCUCCAACUCAGCUGGAUCAGCCCUGCCAGCACGAGGAACACCACAGAGCAGGCCAUCAACACGGCCAAGCCUCCUGCUGCCAUCCCCGGUGGUGAGACAGAGCAUCCUGUAUGGCUCUUGCCUCUAUGGCAUUUCCUCUGCUUCCCCACCUAGAUCAGGCAUUAAUGGAGAGAACUUACAGCCUUGUUUUCCAGGAUGGUUUUGUGUUUUCUUCCUAGUAAUAGCACACUGGUGGAAUAGAACCUCUGCAGCCUAAGGUAAAUUUGCUUUUGUAACAAAAAUGGUUUUACAGAGACACUCAGAAAUCAGGAAAUUGACUCCUGUCAAUCAGCUCUUUCCCCUUCUUGCCUUGGAUAACGUUUGAACAUAUUGACCAAUUCCACCCAUAUCUGACAAAGAUAUGGGAUUAUAAGCUCCUCCUGAAUUUGUCAGAAUAGAUGCUGUGAGGAAGCAUGCCAGGUUUGACGGAGACUGCAGCAUAUGCCCAACCCUUGUUAGCCACCAGAGUCCACACCGAUGCUUACCUUCAGGACACAAACCCCUCAGGGCAUCAGGUUUCCAUGCAGCUCGUAAUCAGCUGCCUCUCAUUUUGUUUAUUCCCCAUCACUGUGAUUCUCACAACAGAACAGUUUGCUGUUUAUACCAUUGUUUAUAGCAUUAGCUAUAAAAUAAGCUGCUUUGAUUCUUUUUAGUAAAGCCAAAAUUACUUCUGUUAAAGUUUCCUGGAAGUGUGUAGCUGAGUUUGUCUGUAAAUGCUUUGGCUCUUGUUGAUGUUUACGCUCUAGAACUCAACCCCACAAUGCUGUUGGUGAUGUGGAGGCUUUAGUUGCAGCCACACUGAUGGCAGUAGCCUUUGCUUCCUGCUCUGUCAAGAACCCUUUUGGUGGAAGAAGUUGAGAGGUUCAGUGCUCAAAAGAAUCUUGUCUAAGAGCAGAUGAGAUGAACGCUCCAUUAAGAGACACUGCAGACAAAUAUUUUACUUGCAGAGAAAUGAUAUUUAUGCCGUGGUAGUGUCACAGGUGAAAUGCAGGCCUGAACAGUCUUCUUUCCAAGAGUUAAGAAUCCCUGUGCCGUUGCCAGAGAGGGGGCAGAAGGCCAUGCUGUGAGGCCAGGUUUCAGACUGAGACAUUACAUACAGUGUCUAAUCCUGUAAACCAUAAAAAUCUCAUGUGAAUAGUGCCAUUGAUAAAGCUUGCAGGCUUUCUAAAAUUGUUUGUUGAUUUCAAGGCGGUUGACCAGAAGUGAGUAAGGAAUCACAGUUCUUUUGAUGGAAGAAAAAAACUUGUUUGCUGGAUCUUUCAUAAGAAGACCAAAGCUGCCAUACAAGGAGGGAAAGAAACAUUUUCUUUGUAGUUUCAAUGACAAUGUUCAUGUGCAUUGGCUUUGUUUCCUGGCAAAUCAUACAUUGGCCAGGUGUGGACCAAAGUAUAUCCUGUUGAUGCUGAAUACAGUAAUUUUUUUUUAGCUAUCCUUUCAUUUUGAGGUGAGGAGAAAAAAAUACAUUUUAGAGCAUUAAAUUAUGGUUGAGUGUGAUUGAUUACAUCUGUAUUUGUUUUCUUAAUCUAUAACUCAUUUUUCUCUUGGCAUAAUUUGUCUUAUGUGCCAAGAUGUUAGGAAGAUGUUUGUAUAGUAGUUAUAAAUCUUAUUUUAAUGCUAGAGAAGGGAAUGAAUAAGUAAUACCAAAUCUGUCUUAACUUUUUAUAUACCCUCCUGGUUACUGAGGACUUCCAUAAAAGGUUAGAUCUUUGUAUACCUCAAAGAUAUACUGGUGUGUUGUACUUUUAACCGUAUCUGUCUCUAGUACAGGAGUAGGUGUUUAGCUGUGCAAAUCAUGAGCAAACAUUUUGAAUAUUGCUCUGCAAGUGUUAGCUCAUUCUAGUCAUCUUUGGGGCUGCUGUUUGUGUAUGUUUGGGGCCUUGGGCAAAGAUGUGCAUCAACUGACCAGUGCUGUUAGGAGAGUGUGGAGGGAUAGACCAAGAAUUGAGCAAAUAAGGAAGGUAAUGUUAAUGAAAUUUGUCAGAAUGCAGUAAUUCAUUACUACUCUUGACAACAUUUGGUGGCAUUGCACCUGGCACACUAGUUUUAACAAGUGCAUCAUCCAGAAUACCUCAUUACUUCAUGGAGAAAAAAUUGUCCUACAGAGUCCUUCAGCUUAGAAGGUGGUCAUCGGCAAGUCCAGUACUGAAACCAGAAGAAUUAAACCAGAAAUAAAAUGUAUAGAGUCAUUGAAAAUGCUUACAUAAGCAUGAGUGGUUAUUCAAUUACAAAAUGCCUUUAAUUUAGUAAAAUACCUGCUGUUUUGGAAGGGCUGGAAUUCAAAUAAAGGUUGCCUUGGGACUUAAACUCUAUUAAAAAGACUUGUGAAUAAUUACCUGAAGUAAAUGUUACUGAGCUCAACUCAUGAGGCCUGAUGUACGUUGGCUAAAUGUUCCUUAUAACAGGUCUUAUAAAUCCAGAGACUUCUACUUUCAAAUGUCCAUAAAAUCUUGAGAAAUUAAGUUUUAGAUUAAGGCCUUGAUGAAUUAAAAUAAUCCAAUACAGGCUUUAAAAUCUGCACGACUCCUAUAAUAAAAGUUGGGUGUUUUAUUUUCAGAAAAGCACUACAGAAAUCUCAUUUAAAAAUCUGAAAAUUAAUGCUGUAUCUUGGAAGACGAG